CUUUUAGUCCAUGGUUUUCUACACAGUUAUAGGCGUCUAGAAUGCACGGCAAUACACGUGAUGUUUUUUCUAAUUAGCUAUUGUUGCCCGCAACUUCUCCUUUUAGGGGUAAAGAAAAACCGCCUCACUGAAUUCUUAUCACCGCCUCUCAUCUCCUGCUAAAGAAUAUCAGAUCUACUCUUCUCUCAUUGGAAAGCUUUUACAGAUAGCUUCCUCAUUUGUCUUCUGUUGGGCUUGUAUUCCUCUGUUGCGCCUCUUCCAUUGUUCUUAAUUUCAUUCUAUGAACUUGGAGAUCUUGUUCGGCAUGCCCAUGGUUAUUUAUCAUCUUCUACUUUGUCGUUCUUGUGAAGGUUGUAAUUGAGGAAAUUCGAGCCUUGGAAUGGGACUUUUAGAUGGGCUCCCUGUCCCUUCUGACAAAGUUGCAAGUAUACAAUGAUUUAAUUUUCGGACGCGGUGGCGAAGAGAUGGAUUUCCUACAGCAGAAGGGGAUUCAAGUUAAAGUUGUACCAGCCAUUACAUUGUUCCUGGGCACAAAAUGAACUCGCCUUGAAUUUCCCACAAGGUUGUGAAUGAAAAUAUUACAAAGAUAUUAAGGUUGUAUGUUCUCAUUAAUGAACAUUUUGGUAGUCGAUGAUAAUGGUGUUACCCGUAAAGUAGCGGAAGGAGCUCUAAAGAAAUAUGGGGCUACUGUGACCUGUGUGGACAGUGGGGAGGUUGACGUGUCGAAGCUUACGCCAUAAUAAAAUGCAGAUGGGGGUGAAGAAUUUGCUGUUGAAAAUUAAUUAAUUACUUGCAGGGUGAAGUUAUUAGAUUUGUGUUAAAGAUGAAUGACCGUGUGAUUCAAGUCUUGAUUAUCCAGGCUGCCUAUGGCUCCAUAAUACAGAGAAGUUCUGGUAUAGAGAUUAUUCAAGUAGGUCCAAAUCCGCAAAUAAUGAGAAACUGCAUAAAUUCUUGAAAACGAGAGAAGCUUUAAUUAAUUUAAAUUUUUAGAGGAAGUAUGCCUUGAUAGUAUACAAUAUUAUAAUGGUAUUGUAACUAUUUCAAUUUUGAAAAAAAAUCCUUGUAAGACUCGAUCAAGCCUUAUUUUGUACUCUAUAUCAUCAAUAAUGAACAGAAUUCAACAUUUA
Long non-coding RNA from Spinacia oleracea (spinach), 1127 nucleotides. RefSeq lists it as uncharacterized. The record is from RefSeq and is a predicted model, not a curated record. NCBI's taxonomy places the organism in Eukaryota, Viridiplantae, Streptophyta, Magnoliopsida, Caryophyllales, Amaranthaceae. The transcript has 5 exons.